Molecule: long non-coding RNA, 500 nt
Organism: Leguminivora glycinivorella
Lineage: Eukaryota; Metazoa; Arthropoda; Insecta; Lepidoptera; Tortricidae
Exons: 2
Source: RefSeq, a predicted model, not a curated record
UUAUAUAUUAGUAACGAUGUAUCGAGUGGGAGAAUAAAGAUAAAUAUAAAGCGAGAAGUAGAAUAAUUAACUGUUUAUUUAUAUAUUUGUAGCGAUGUAUCGAGUGGGAGAAUAAAGAAUAAUAUGAGGCGAGAAGCUGAAUAAUUAACUACUUAUUUAUAUAUUAGUAGUGAUGUGUCGAUUAGUGGGAGUUUAUAUUAUAUGAGAGUACAUGUAGAUAUGUACUAAUUAAUAUUUGAUGAUAAUGUUUUUUGAAACCUUUUGUUUUUUGGUAAACUAAUGUGAUGAAAGUUUUUGAAAUAUUGUUCUGGAAAUGAGAUUGUGGCCUUUUAAAUAAAAGUUGUAAAGUAUUAGAUAAAAGUUGUAAAGUAUGUACUAACGCUUCAAGCAGAGUCGAUUGAGGGGGUGUGUUAUUGUGAAGGUUGAAUAUGCAAUCGACUCAUGCUUGACCAAAUUUAAGUUUGGAACCUCAGUUGUCUAUGUGCAGACUUUUGAGUUUU